RNAcentral lists this long non-coding RNA (383 nucleotides) under Rattus norvegicus (Norway rat). RNAcentral describes it as "long non-coding RNA NONRATT025703". The record is from RNAcentral. Lineage: Eukaryota; Metazoa; Chordata; Mammalia; Rodentia; Muridae.
AGGACCCACGAUAUGCCAGAUACCUCAAGAUGGUUCAAGUGCUGCUGUCCUUCACAGAUGCCACCGUUGCCAUGCUCCCGCGGGGGUUCCCAUGCUAAUGCCACGGGUGCCACUCUUCAUUUCUAGUCCUUUGCUACACUGCUUUUACAACUGGUGCUCCAUGUGCUUGGGAAAUGUAGUCUGAGUCUGAACCUUCAGAAGGUCAGCGCUUCUCGGUCACACAGGAAGAACAGCCACCUGACACCGAACCGAUGCACUCACAUGGAGCCCAUCACCCCUGGAGCUGCUGAUGGACGCUUGGCUACCGAACACUUGCAUUCUUUGUUUUUAAUGCUGUACCAGAUACUUUAAAAGUUAAUUUUAAUUAAAGUCAAGUUUAGGGG